Molecule: long non-coding RNA, 1166 nt
Organism: Gadus macrocephalus (Pacific cod)
Lineage: Eukaryota; Metazoa; Chordata; Actinopteri; Gadiformes; Gadidae
Exons: 3
Source: RefSeq, a predicted model, not a curated record
GGUUUCCCUAUACAGUGGAAGAACAGGCCGAGAUUAAAAGGCAAUUUGCAGCAAUGUCCGAUUUCCCAAACGUAAUCGGCGCAAUUGACUGCACUCAUAUUGCUAUAAGGGCUCCAUCUGAACAUGAGUUCGCUUACGUCAACCGCAAGCACGUGCACACUAUUAAUGUUCAAGUUGUAUGUGAUGCCCAUAUGAACUUCACAAACAUAGUGGCACGUUGGCCUGGUGCAACACAUGAUUAAUUUAUUCUGACGCACAGUAGUGUAGGGAACAGACUACAGGCAGGCGCGGGGCGGGAUGGCUGGCUUCUAGGGGACAGUGGAUACCCCCUGAGACGCUGGCUCCUCACCCCAGUUUUGAACGCGCAAAGCGCCGAGGAACAACGUUAUAAUGAGGUCCAUGGCCGUGCUCGUUCAGUGGUGGAGCGCGCCAUCGGCCUCCUGAAGUGCCGGUGGCGCGCUCUGGAUGCGUCGGGGGGGGGAGGCUUUUAUACCAGCCUGCCAAAGUGUGCCGCAUUAUAAGGGCUUGCGGCGUGCUGCACAAUUUGUCCCAGAGGAACGGCCUCCCUCUCCCCCCCGACCUCCCUCCCCCCGAGCUUGACCCGGAGACCCAGCCCCCUCCGAGGCAAGUCGGAUUUCAACAGGGUGCAAGAGUACGUGCGGAUGUCAUGCGGCGUUUAUGAGAUGAAGACGACUCAAGCUGCAGAACUUCGUCUGUGAGGACCCGACCAGCGGACUGACGCUUGGUGCUGGGGGUUGGGGCAGCCGGAUGACCUGCGGCCGAGGGCCCCUCGCCGGCAUCAUCUUCCUCCUCCCCACCGACCGCUGACUCUGGAGGACGCACAAGCAAAAUAGCUUGCACUAGGCCUACAUGAUCGAUAAUAAAUCUAUAAAAAACAGAAAUCAGCUUUACCUUGUUCUUCUGUGUUGUCAGUGUCCCCUUCCCUUUCGGACACGAUGCCACUCACGCUUGCGGUGCCAAUGAUGGAUGCAACUUGCCUGUCAAUCGGGGUUAGGUCAGGAGUACUGGGUCCCCCUCCAGUUGCAGUCACGCUCUGGCGUUGCGAGGACAGCCUCUGCUUUGCACCCACCUGUAAUUAACGAUCUUCACUAUACGACCAGUUACAUUUGAGCAAUUAAUUAUAAACGUGCUGUGCGUGAGGAAAU